This 402-nucleotide ribosomal RNA is filed under the name uncultured Glomeromycotina. RNAcentral's name for it is "SSU rRNA". It matches the Rfam family "Eukaryotic small subunit ribosomal RNA", at positions 569 to 976 of the family's 1831-position model. The record is from RNAcentral. Lineage: Eukaryota; Fungi; Glomeromycota.
AGCAGCCGCGGUAAUUCCAGCUCCAAUAGCGUAUAUUAAAGUUGUUGCAGUUAAAAAGCUCGUAGUUGAAUUUCGGGGUUAGUAGGUUGGUCAUGCCUCUGGUAUGUACUGGUCUCACUGAUUUCUCCUUCCUUAUGAACCGUAAUGCCAUUAAUUUGGUGUUGCGGGAAAUUUGGACUGUUACUUUGAAAAAUUAGAGUGUUUAAAGCAAGCUAACGCUUGAAUACAUUAGCAUGGAAUAAUGAAAUAGGACGUUCGAUCUUAUUUUGUUGGUUUCUAGGAUUGACGUAAUGAUUAAUAGGGAUAGUUGGGGGCAUUAGUAUUCAAUUGUCAGAGGUGAAAUUCUUGGAUUUAUUGAAGACUAACUACUGCGAAAGCAUUUGCCAAGGAUGUUUUCAUUAA